This 250-nucleotide ribosomal RNA is filed under the name uncultured bacterium. RNAcentral's name for it is "partial 16S ribosomal RNA". It matches the Rfam family "Bacterial small subunit ribosomal RNA", at positions 355 to 594 of the family's 1533-position model. The record is from RNAcentral.
UAGGGAAUCUUCGGCAAUGGACGAAAGUCUGACCGAGCAACGCCGCGUGAGUGAAGAAGGUUCUCGGAUCGUAAAACUCUGUUGGUAGAGAAGAACGUUGGUGAGAGUGGAAAGCUCAUCAAGUGACGGUAACUACCCAGAAAGGGACGGCUAACUACGUGCCAGCAGCCGCGGGUAAUACGUAGGUCCCCGAGCGUUGUCCGGAUUUAUUGGGCGUAAAGCGAGCGCAGGUGGUUUAUUAAAGUCCUGG